RNAcentral lists this transfer RNA (74 nucleotides) under Caulerpa lentillifera. RNAcentral describes it as "tRNA-Arg". It matches the Rfam family "tRNA". From Rfam's summary of the family: Transfer RNA (tRNA) molecules are approximately 80 nucleotides in length. Their secondary structure includes four short double-helical elements and three loops (D, anti-codon, and T loops). RNAcentral also lists the same sequence under 1 other name. The record is from RNAcentral. Lineage: Eukaryota; Viridiplantae; Chlorophyta; Ulvophyceae; Bryopsidales; Caulerpaceae.
CGCGGAGAGGAGCAAUUGGUGUGCUCGUCGGACUCAUGUUCCGAAGGUUGCAGGUUCGAGGCCUGCCUCCGCGU